AUCGCUUCUCGGCCUUUUGGCUAAGAUCAAGUGUGGAGAAUGUAGAUUUUCUUUUUCUGAUUACUAACCACAUAGAAUAGAUGUAAGAGUUGAUUUCUCCAUCAUUUAUCUUCAUUUUUGUUAACAGAGAACUUUAAACAGCCAAAGAAUACAAUUCUCUAGAGUGCUAUUUCUC
This 175-nucleotide small nuclear RNA is filed under the name Zalophus californianus (California sea lion). Its description in RNAcentral is "U2 spliceosomal RNA (ENSZCAG00015000604.1)". It matches the Rfam family "U2 spliceosomal RNA". Rfam says of the family: U2 is a small nuclear RNA (snRNA) component of the spliceosome (involved in pre-mRNA splicing). Complementary binding between U2 snRNA (in an area lying towards the 5' end but 3' to hairpin I) and the branchpoint sequence (BPS) of the intron results the bulging out of an unpaired adenosine, on the BPS, which initiates a nucleophilic attack at the intronic 5' splice site, thus starting the first of two transesterification reactions that mediate splicing. The record is from RNAcentral. Lineage: Eukaryota; Metazoa; Chordata; Mammalia; Carnivora; Otariidae.